RNAcentral lists this ribosomal RNA (492 nucleotides) under uncultured bacterium. Its description in RNAcentral is "partial 16S ribosomal RNA". It matches the Rfam family "Bacterial small subunit ribosomal RNA", at positions 29 to 507 of the family's 1533-position model. The record is from RNAcentral.
AGUGAACGCCGGCGGUAGGCCUAACACAUGCAAGUCGAACGGCAGCACAGUAAGAGCUUGCUCUUACGGGUGGCGAGUGGCGGACGGGUGAGGAAUACAUCGGAAUCUACUUUUUCGUGGGGGAUAACGUAGGGAAACUUACGCUAAUACCGCAUACGACCUACGGGUGAAAGCAGGGGAUCUUCGGACCUUGCGCGAUUGAAUGAGCCGAUGUCGGAUUAGCUAGUUGGCGGGGUAAAGGCCCACCAAGGCGACGAUCCGUAGCUGGUCUGAGAGGAUGAUCAGCCACACCGGAACUGAGACACGGUCCAGACUCCUACGGGAGGCAGCAGUGGGGAAUAUUGGACAAUGGGCGCAAGCCUGAUCCAGCCAUACCGCGUGGGUGAAGAAGGCCUUCGGGUUGUAAAGCCCUUUUGUUGGGAAAGAAAAGCAGCAGGUUAAUACCCCGCUGUUCUGACGGUACCCAAAGAAUAAGCACCGGCUAACUUCGUG